Solanum tuberosum (potato) is the source of this 91-nucleotide non-coding RNA. NCBI's taxonomy places the organism in Eukaryota, Viridiplantae, Streptophyta, Magnoliopsida, Solanales, Solanaceae. The record is from Rfam.
AAUGCAUCAAUGAUGAGUAAUCCAAUUCGUUAUCCUUGCACUUUGAUUGCUAAAUGAAGAAAAUCAUGGGGAAUUAUAAUCUGAGAUGCUU